Long non-coding RNA from Pyrus x bretschneideri (Chinese white pear), 561 nucleotides. RefSeq lists it as uncharacterized. The transcript has 2 exons. NCBI's taxonomy places the organism in Eukaryota, Viridiplantae, Streptophyta, Magnoliopsida, Rosales, Rosaceae. The record is from RefSeq and is a predicted model, not a curated record.
AUAUAUACACUGGCACUGAUACUUGCUUUACUCUACACACACACACCGAUACUGACACUUGCUUCUCUCUCUCUCUCUCUUUCUCUUAUAUAUAUAUAUAUAUUGUAGACAUCACAUCUUUAGAGCAGCUCUAGCGUAUGCUAGAGCCCGAUGGACCGGCAAUUAAAUAGGGCCAAAUCGUCCCAGCAAGCAAGUCCAACGGAUGUUGGCGAUUGAGCCCGAAGGGCCCGAGGGAGAGGCUCGGCACGAGUAGCUAGCCCAAGAGCCCAAUGGUCAGGUGACGUCUCUAUGGAUCUCUGGUUGUUGGCGUUCAUCUUCCUCCUCAAGAGCAUGAGAGAUGGCAGCAACAUCAGCAGCUCCAUCGGAACCAAUUGUUCCCUCGGCCACAAGGCGGCGUCGUUUCAACAGACAAAGCCUUGUGCUUUGAGGUUCAGUUUUGUGCAGAUUUACAUCAGUACUUUCAGUUUUAUGGAAUAAAGUCGAUAUCCUUUCAGUGAUCUAUGUUGAAGCGAUUUUCUAAAGAAAUUAUUUUGUAAAAUAAAAAAUACUAAUAUUUUAUUA